GGACGCCUAGCUCAGCUGGUAGAGCGCUCGACCGAUAAUCGAGAGGUGGCAGGUUCGAACCCUGUGGCGUCCACCA
RNAcentral lists this transfer RNA (76 nucleotides) under Pseudomonas sp. Leaf58. RNAcentral's name for it is "tRNA-Ile". It matches the Rfam family "tRNA". Rfam says of the family: Transfer RNA (tRNA) molecules are approximately 80 nucleotides in length. Their secondary structure includes four short double-helical elements and three loops (D, anti-codon, and T loops). The record is from RNAcentral. Lineage: Bacteria; Pseudomonadati; Pseudomonadota; Gammaproteobacteria; Pseudomonadales; Pseudomonadaceae.